GCCGGACAGGGCGGCCCCGCCUCCGUCCUGCCCGCCGCGGCUGGCUCGGGGCCCUCGCUUAGAGCGGGGUUUAAUAAUUUAUUUUCCCGGGGCGCUGAAUGUUGUCAGGUGGGGCUGCGGCUGCCGGCCCGGGGGAGCCCCUGGCCCCGGCCCUCGCACUGCGCCGAGCCAAGGAGGAGGAGCGCCCCGAAUUACAGCGGGAAAUCAGCGCUGGACACAGCCGCCUCCUCCGCAGCAUGGCUGACGGAAGAAAGUAACGCUUGGUUAGAAGUGUCACAUUCCACGGGCAUUGGACUAAAGCGACUGAGAUUCCUUUUUUUAUAGUCAAGAUAAAUGAGGGAUGAGCUCGGGAGCAUUCUAAUUUAGGAUAAAGAUUCUCCUCUGGCCUCUGCACCUCUCUGGCUGAACACAAAUCUUACCUCAGCUGCAAAAUUAGAAAAAAACCCAAAGUAACUGAAUUUCACUCUGAAAAUGGAUUGUAUUCCUUCUGCUGGAAUUAAAGAACAGGUUAAUAUGGCUUUGAUUGAAUAAUUAUUAUCACUUAUAGCAUGGAGGCUUUGAGAGAAGCCUGAGCUGCCAAGCUGCUGCUCUGUCUAAGCAGUUCCUAUAACUAAGCUUGUGUUUUGACUAAAAUCCCCUGAAGAUGCCAUGAUAAGCCCCUCUAUCCUGGUUGAUUUCUUACAUUUUUUUUUGGACAUACAGUCCAGAGAGCAUUGGACCGUCCUUCUUGCCUAACAAGAUUUCUUUCAUCAACUUCCCAAAGUACUAAGGGAAAGAGCAGUCGGAGUGCUCUGGAGCUUCAGGACAAGGUGUUCUGGAAGUUUUCCCUAUAUUUUAUCAGCCUUUAUCAGAAGCUGGGCUAGACCAGGUGAUGCACAUCUGCAGGGAGUGACUGGGAUUUCCCUGUGUAACUCUGCAGCACAAGCCAAGGUAGGGGAAGAUCCCUGACAGCGGUGCAGAUGCAGAGCUGUGUUGUAGGUGUUCUGAGGCUGCUGAGAAAUGUGAGGUCACUGUGAAGGUGCCAUAGAGGAGGAGCAGGUUAAUUUGCCAGGGAUGCCAAGUCCUGAAUCUGAACUCUUGUAAGGGAGCCAGGUGCUUUCCCACAGUGCUGGAGUAAUUGGAGCAUUCCUUUCCCCCCAAGUUUAGAGGAUGCGGCAAAUGAGGAAGGGGCUGGCCUUGUGGAAAUGUCACUGAACUUCUACAUGCUGAUCAAAGGCAGGAGAGAAGUAAUCACAGGAAAAAAGUAAGAUUUGCUUAUGUGAAGAAUGAUACAGCCACUACAAGACUGACUGUAAAGCACCAUAACAAAGUACUGCCACUGGCUCAACUGAAGGAGGUGCCAGAUUCAUGGAACAUGUCCUCUUUCCCUUGAAUGCCUGAGGUUGGCUAUAAAUCAAGCAGGUUUUCUUCAGGAUGGAUCAAAAUGGUUAUCAGGAUCCAUUACAGUAUAGGCUCAGCUGUGUCACAGAAAAACUCUUUUGAAGUUCUUGUCUAAUACCUUUUGGGACAGCUCAGAGCAGAGUGGCCAGAACCAUGCAAGUUGCAAAGUGCCACAGUCCUAAAAACUUCAUGAUCUACUGACACCAGAGGAGGCUGAAAAUGACAGAAUAGCCAACUGCUGCCCGCAGCUGCUGUGAUGAACACAGUUUUUCAUGAAAAUGAUAUAGUGUAAAUUAUUUCAAAAUACUACAUAACAAUAAGAUCCUUCCUAGUGAUUCUUUCGAAAAGUGAAUUUCCAAGAAAGAAUUCAAAACCCAACAGUAUUUCAUGAGAAGCCCUAGAUACUGAGUUGGAGAAAAAAUGGUUGUCUACAUGUUAAAAAUCAGCUAAGACUGAAACAUAAAAGAUGAAGGGUUUUUCCUUUUUUUCCCCCAUUUGUUACCAAACCCAGAUGAAAUUGACAAAAUAAAACUUCAAGAAUCCAUUCAAUAAA
Long non-coding RNA from Passer domesticus (house sparrow), 1933 nucleotides. RefSeq lists it as uncharacterized. The record is from RefSeq and is a predicted model, not a curated record. Lineage: Eukaryota; Metazoa; Chordata; Aves; Passeriformes; Passeridae. The transcript has 2 exons.